GUCCUACGGGGCGCAGCAGUCGGGAAUAUUGCGCAAUGGAGGAAACUCUGACGCAGUGACGCCGCGUGCAGGAAGAAGGUUUUCGGAUUGUAAACUGCUUUAGACAGGGAAGAAACAAGACAGUACCUGUAGAAUAAGCUCCGGCUAACUACGUGCCAGCAGCCGCGGUAAUACGUAGGGAGCAAGCGUUAUCCGGAUUUAUUGGGUGUAAAGGGUGCGUAGACGGGAAAACAAGUUGGUUGUGAAAUCCCUCGGCUUAACUGAGGAACUGCAACCAAAACAAUUUUUCUUGAGUGCUGGAGAGG
This 305-nucleotide ribosomal RNA is filed under the name uncultured bacterium. Its description in RNAcentral is "bacterial SSU rRNA". It matches the Rfam family "Bacterial small subunit ribosomal RNA", at positions 335 to 657 of the family's 1533-position model. The record is from RNAcentral.